UGACAUUUUGCUAACCUUUAUGAGUUGUUUGCUCUCCUCCGAUGACAAUUUUGAUAUUUCAGUCAUCUAUCUUAGCUUAUCAGUUUAUACAUGUCUUUUUAUUUUAAAAAAAGAGAUACGUGACUUUUAUUCAUAAAGACAACAUAUUGUAUUUGCAUAAACUUCUCCAUUUUUUCUUUCUUUCAAAACGAUCUUCAUCUUCCAAUUCUAAGAGCUCUUCUCGGCUUGGUUUAAAAAGUUUCUGAAAUAAUGGUGGACUUCUUCCCAUGGUUUGGAGUUUCCGCCCAAGCUUUCUUCGUCUUUCUGAAGUUUCUAGGUUUAUAUGUGGCUAGUGACUUAGUGGCAUAGCGGCAUGGUUGAUACAAAGACUUAGGUUUCUUAAGCUAUUGUUGAAAAUCCUAAGGACAUGACAAACAUAUGCUAACAUUACUCAUGAAGACGUACUUUUAAAGAAGCAGGCAUUCUGAUUUUGAUCUGUUCAACGGAAAUGGAACCGUCACAUAAGACGUCUAAGCUAUUAUAAUGGAAGGAGAUGAUUUUCAAUCUACAUAUCCCACAAUUUGGAGUUAAUCUGCGAUAUCUCACUAUAUCAGACAGUCAGGUCGAUGCUCUUCAACAAUUCCUGCUCACGGCCUCUCCCUUAAGCUGAUUGGGGAUCCUAGCUACUUAAUACUGCUCUCUAAUAAGUUGUUUUCUUACGGAGGAUCAAGGAGACAACUUAUUUGCUUGCCAAGACUUAUUGAUGUCAAGGCCUUCUGCAGUACUACAAUUAAAGAUGCUUCCUUUGCACAAUAUUUCAAGCUUCACAUAGUGAAAUGUGACCUGGGUCACUAUGCAAAAAUGUGCCUUAGAAGGUUGUAUGUGGCGGAUUCAUGCAGCCGAGCUUCCAUGCCCCUGCAUUUUCGGUAAGGACCCUUGGAAAAAAUCGUUACUGUGCAUGUGAGAAAAAUGCACAAAGUGAAAAUCAUCAAGCUUCUUUCGAUAUAGUGACCUUCAUAGAGGAACUGUUGUUAGACAACAUAAAUUUCAGAUGGGAAGAUAUUUCGCAUGAUUUGUAUUAAAAAAAUACGGGAUAAUUGUACCUUAUUUGUGUUGUAUAGAUAGAUAUUGUUUGUUACUUGUGUCGUAUAGGCAAUUAAAGAAGACCAAACUUGGAAAUAUUACUACGACGUUCACUAUUUA
Nicotiana tabacum (common tobacco) is the source of this 1182-nucleotide long non-coding RNA. RefSeq lists it as uncharacterized. The record is from RefSeq and is a predicted model, not a curated record. NCBI's taxonomy places the organism in Eukaryota, Viridiplantae, Streptophyta, Magnoliopsida, Solanales, Solanaceae.